CAGGCCUAACACAUGCAAGUCGAGGGGUAACGAUGGUGCUUGCACCAGGCGACGACCGGCGCACGGGUGAGUAACGCGUAUGCAACCUGCCUUGUACAGGGGGAUAGCCCGGAGAAAUCCGGAUUAAUACCGCAUAAUGAUGAUUUUCUGCAUGGGAAAUUAUUUAAACCUUUUUGGGGUACAAGAUGGGCAUGCGUAGCAUUAGCUUGUUGGUGAGGUAACGGCUCACCAAGGCGAUGAUGCUUAGGGGGUCUGAGAGGAUAGUCCCCCACACUGGUACUGAGACACGGACCAGACUCCUACGGGAGGCAGCAGUGAGGAAUAUUGGUCAAUGGACGCAAGUCUGAACCAGCCAUGUCGCGUGCAGGAUGACGGCCCUAUGGGUUGUAAACUGCUUUUUUACGGGAAUAAUUGCAUCUACGUGUAGGUGUUUGAAGGUACCGUAUGAAUAAGGAUCGGCUAACUCCGUGCCAGCAGCCGCGGUAAUACGGAGGAUUCGAGCGUUAUCCGGAUUUAUUGGGUUUAAAGGGUCCGUAGGCGGGAAAGUCAGUCAGUGGUGAAAUCCAACAGCUCAACUGUAGCACUGCCAUUGAUACUGCUUUUCUUGAAUUAAGUUGAAGUGGGCGGAAUGUGACAUGUAGCGGUGAAAUGCAUAGAUAUGUCACAGAACACCGAUUGCGAAGGCAGCUCACUAAGCUUUUAUUGACGCUGAUGGACGAAAGCGUGGGU
RNAcentral lists this ribosomal RNA (729 nucleotides) under uncultured bacterium. Its description in RNAcentral is "bacterial SSU rRNA". It matches the Rfam family "Bacterial small subunit ribosomal RNA", at positions 43 to 766 of the family's 1533-position model. The record is from RNAcentral.